RNAcentral lists this long non-coding RNA (834 nucleotides) under Gallus gallus (chicken). RNAcentral's name for it is "lncRNA (ENSGALG00010024372.1)". The record is from RNAcentral. Lineage: Eukaryota; Metazoa; Chordata; Aves; Galliformes; Phasianidae.
CCUAACUAUGACUUGCAAAGGUCCUUGAAUUUCUUAUGCAACAGCUAUGGCCAAGGACAGAGCUCUGCACCAGCUGAACCACGGGCCUGAUCCAGUACUACAGUUGCUUUUCCACUCCCAUGGCAAUAAUUUCCCCAUGAUAUUGAGCACAGUCCUCAUGGUGUAUUGACACCACUAUAGGAAUAUGUGGAUGGAGGUUUCCUAUGUUGUACCAGCCACAGAAGCAGAACAAAUACACGAAAACCAACAGAAGCUUUAGUUUUACUACUUAGGAUGUGUAUGGGAGCUGUUGAAUCACAGCCUGAACCACUGAUUGAUCACCUGAGGCAAGCACUGAGUCAGCCAUGGGAGCACAGGUGAAGGCAAUUCACCUGUGUGACGAGAAGGGGUGGAGCCUGGCUGCACCUCUCCUAGACCCCAUUUAAGGGCUGACUGCCGCUGGUGAAGGAUAUCUUUUUGGAGCUUGCUCCCUUUGGAGUUUUUCUGUGAGCCUCUGAUAUGGGGAUCAGAAUUCUAUCCCAUACGAUGAAAUGUGACUGGAGUUGACUGUAUUUACUGUGGAAAAAGUAAAAUCAUUUUAGAAAUGCAUUUAAGUGAAGAUGUUAUCUCCUUUGGCAUGUCUGCAUCACACACACAGGGGUGUGUAAGGUUCUAGGUGUACUGGAAGCAUCACUGUGCUUUGUUGAAGAGAAGAAAAAAGACUGGGGAGAAGGGAUUCCAUCGUCUCUUGAAGUUCAUAUUUGGUAGAGUUCUCCCUAGCAGAAGGCCUGUACAGUGCCUAGAUAACACAUGGAGUCAAAACAGGAAGAGAGGGAGGCAGAGCAGUACAUGAAU